Salvia splendens (bonfire salvia) is the source of this 3156-nucleotide RNA transcript. It is a transcript of the gene named putative pentatricopeptide repeat-containing protein At3g28640, with no coding region annotated. The transcript is spliced from 9 exons. The record is from RefSeq and is a predicted model, not a curated record. Lineage: Eukaryota; Viridiplantae; Streptophyta; Magnoliopsida; Lamiales; Lamiaceae.
AUAGUAUUGGCCCAAAGCUCUAAACUUGUUGGACGGAUCCGAUUAACUUCCCUACUAAAAUCACUACUAUCUUACUCCGGUACAGGAAAAAAAUAAGAGAAAACAAUAGAGCAAAAUAGAACAUCCCUGACUUCAGGCGCCGCUGCCCCGCCGGUGUUCAGCCGCUGCCCUGAAUCGUCGCUUUACUCUAUUCGCCUGCGUCCAACACCACACCUCAAUUUUAGUGGCUUCAAGCUUGAAGAACCAAUUUCUCAUAUUUGAUUUUUUAAAAAAGAAAUUUUCAAUGGUCGAAGAAGUAUGGUCAUGAUGCUCCGAAGUUGCAAAGACUUGCUAUCAAUAUCUUGAGCUUAACUUGUAGUGCAUCCGGGUGUGAGCGCAAUUGAAGUGUUUUCGAGCAAAAAAGCAUGUAUUAGCCGUUAGAAAAGAUUGGGGAAAAGAUUGGCGACCCACCCAAAACGCUCGUCCCCGCCGACCCAGCCGACCCCGCCGACCCAGCGCGACCCAUGCAUCUCGAUCAACCCACCCAUGUUGGGGCGGUGUUGGUCUCGACCCGGGCCACCCUUAUCUAUUCAAUUGAAGGAACGGAGGUGAAGGCAAUCAGGGGAAAUCUUUCAACACGAAAGUCACUAAAUUUCUAGAGCAUCAUCAAUUACCAACUUUGGAAUGCCAUUCAAAAAUCUUUUCCCAAAUAAUCAAUUUGUUAUUCUUAAGCAACUACCAGAAUCAUCCCUGCCGCUGCUAAGUCUUCAGAGAAGAUUCAGUUGUUCGUCGCAACCUGAUUCUUCCAACUGGGUUCAAAACAACCAGUUGUUUCAAAGGCACCCCAGGUUGCAACUUUUCGAGAAAGGACGGAUGAAAACACUUCAUCAUCUCAAGCAAUUUGUUGCUUACGUAUUUGUAACGGGUCUUCACCGCAACCCCUUCAUCAUGAGUCGCAUAAUCUAUUUGAGCUUGGUCGAGUCAGAAGAAUGUAACCAUAUCGAUAAUUCUAAGUUUGGAAUUCAGAUCUUCAGUAGGAUCGAAAGACCCAAUAUUUUUUCCUGGAAUACCCUGAUUAGAUUCUUCUCCGGGUUAGAUCCCAUGAUUGCUCUGCAUUUUUACACGAAAAUGGUUAGAGAAAGAAUACUCCCCGACACAUAUACAUUCACAUUCUUGCUCCAGGCUGGUGGGCCUAGUUUGGAUCUGUUUUUUGUUAAACAAGUUCAUUGCCAUGCUCUGAAAUUCGGUUUCAAUCACAAUUUGUUUGUUCAGAAUUCCGUACUCAGUGCCUAUGCAAUUCGGGACUCGGCAAUGGAUGCACGGAAUGUGUUCGAUGAAAUGUCGAACAAAGAUGUCGUUACAUGGACGAGCUUGAUAUCCGGGCUCGUCGCACAUUCCAAUUACAUGGAAGCACUUCGAGUUUUCAAAGAUUUGAUGGCCGAUGACUGCCAACCACAUCCAAAUGUUGUCACCACCAUCUCUGCAAUAUCAGCUUGUGGUGGUCUAGGAUAUGCAAAUCUUACUAAAUGCUUCCACGCUUUAUUAGAGAAGGCUGGAUGGAUCGAAACUGACGUUUCUAUUUCUAAUUCCCUGAUUGACGCCUAUGCAAAAUGUGGAGAUUUAAGCAACGCAACUAGAGUUUUCAAUGAAAUUCAGAAUGUGAAGAAGGAUUUGUAUUCUUGGACGGCCGUUAUCACAUCAUACGGUAUGCAUGGCCGAGGACUAGAUGCACUGUGUGUGUUCUAUCAAAUGGAUCCACUCCACGAACUUGCACCCGAUGCAGUGACCCUUGUCGCGAUUCUUUCAGCAUGCGCACACUCUGGCCUGCUCGACCAAGGUUUGUGCAUUUUUGAGUUGAUGUGGAGAAGGUACAAAAUUAAGCCUGACCUUCGUCACUAUGGAUGCAUUGUUGAUCUCUUGGGAAGAGCUGGGAUGAUUAAACGAGCUUAUAGUGUUGUUGAGAGCAUGCCGAUGGAGCCUAAUCUGGCUGUAUUGGGAUCUUUACUGAGUAGUUGUAGGCUUCACAAUGAGUUGGAGUUUGGUGAAGCAGUUUUAAGAAAGAUCGAGCUUUUGAAAGAGAGAGGAGGAGCCUCGGUGCUCAUAUCUAAUAUGUAUGCUAGUAAGAACGAAUGGGAUAGAGUGGUUAACGUAAGGAACAAAAUGAGAGAGAGAAUGAAAGGAAAGGUUUCUGGUAGAAGUUGGAUUCAGGUUAAAGAUGCAGUUCAUGAGUUUGUUGCAAGAAAUGAUGUUGAUCCAAAACUGCACAUGGUACUUCGAAGUUUGGAAAAGCUCUCUACACUGUUCUGUCUGAUAUCUGCUCGCCGUCCACCUGCCUCAUUCUUCAUCGGGCUAAUUGUCUUCAAUUUUGUACAAAUAUUUCUUCACUCUGCCGCUCGAUGUCGUCCGCAUUCGAUUUCAAUCUCAUUGAUUCACCAGAACGUAAUUUUCGUUGAUCAACUGUUUAGUAAUGUGCAAACCCAUGAAAGCUGCAAAUGUUGAAAAUGGGAUGAAAUAUUUGUGUGCAGAAUUAGGUAAAAUGGGAUAAGCAGCAGGAGGUGGAAGUUGGCAUUCAUCCCCAUUUAAGUAAAUCUUCCUUGGAAACACUCAUCCCUGUUCGAGUGUAAACAAACAUAUCCCUGUCCUUCUUCAAGAGUCUCGGAUUGAACAUUUUCAAACUCCCCGGCCUACAUGACUAGGUCGUCGUAGAAGAUGACUCAAACAAGACAUGUGUGAGAUGUGGACUCACUGUGUGAAGUUCAUCCCGUAGUCGAAGUUGGUGAUGGCGAUCUCAACACGCUGGUAGUCUCUGUAGUUGAGCUUCAUGUGCCAGUGGACGUGUAUGAGCCAUAUGUGUGCGGGACCGUGCAUUGUUGAUGCAUAUUGAAUUAACGCAAGGGGUUUGACAAUUACGACGACACUUUUCUAGUUCAAACAGGCGGACGGUCAUCCACAUUCAGGAGCAUCUUCCCGGAUUCGUGUUUCUUGAAAAGCCUCCCAACAACUUCGUCCCAGUUGGUCCUCGCGUCUUUACAAACAGCAUGAGGUAUAUUCAAACUUACGGCUCUCUCCAACGCAUCCUUGUGCUCCUUUUCUAAUGUCAGCUUCCUGUUGAAUUUCUGUACCCCUGGCGGAGUAGUUACGGUCUCUGUAUUAAGCUCCUGCAUAUUCUGCAUCACG